UGGGGAAUAUUGGGCAAUGGGCGAAAGCCUGACCCAGCAACGCCGCGUGAAGGAAGAAGGCCUUCGGGUUGUAAACUUCUUUGACAGGGGAAGAUCAUGACGGUACCCUGAAAACAAGCUCCGGCUAACUACGUGCCAGCAGCCGCGGUAAUACGUAGGGAGCGAGCGUUAUCCGGAUUUACUGGGUGUAAAGGGCGCGUAGGCGGGAAGGAAAGUCAGGUGUGAAAACUUGGGGCUCAACCCCAAGCCUGCACUUGAAACUUCCUUUCUUGAGUGAUGGAGAGGCAGAUGGAAUUCCGAGUGUAGCGGUGGAAUGCGUAGAUAUUCGGAGGAACACCGGUGGCGAAGGCGGUCUGCUGGACAUUAACUGACGCUGAGGCGCGAAAGCGUGGGGAGCAAACAGG
Molecule: ribosomal RNA, 404 nt
Filed under: uncultured prokaryote
Also listed under: 1 other name
Description: bacterial SSU rRNA
Rfam family: Bacterial small subunit ribosomal RNA
Source: RNAcentral